UUGCUUUAUUUUGUUCCAUCAAAAAUAUUGUUUUAAGCCUCUGUACAUCUUUGUACUGUCAGGAUGAAUAGAGAAACGAGAUUUAUAAGCUUCCUCUAAAAUUUUCUUCUUCAGUUCAGGAUCUCUAGGUAUAUAUAAUAUGUUCCCAAAAUAUAGAAUACCAUUUGAAUGAAUUCUAAGCUUAGGUUGCAACCCUUUCUCCAUGUCUUCUUUGAACUGACAUAAACGAAUAUCAUUCCGUUAGGUAGCUUUUAUCCAUUUAAUCAAUGUUGAUUGUACCAUUAAAUUGGCUAAUACAUUCUU
RNAcentral lists this long non-coding RNA (303 nucleotides) under Elaeis guineensis (African oil palm). RNAcentral describes it as "long non-coding RNA (EGUI_LNC041329)". The record is from RNAcentral. Lineage: Eukaryota; Viridiplantae; Streptophyta; Magnoliopsida; Arecales; Arecaceae.